This 267-nucleotide long non-coding RNA is filed under the name Pan troglodytes (chimpanzee). RNAcentral's name for it is "long non-coding RNA NONPTRT017374". The record is from RNAcentral. Lineage: Eukaryota; Metazoa; Chordata; Mammalia; Primates; Hominidae.
AUAAGAUUCCUUCCCUCUGGUGAGGUGCAAAGGCGUGAACAAGAUGGUUUUCCGGGUGUCAUGUGAGAAGCAUUGAUCUACGAUCUGUUCCCCUUCCUGCUUCCUCUUCUCCCUUUUGCCCAUGUUCUGGUGCUAUCCAGAAGGAAAAGACUUUCUGAAGUGCUUCAUUCGUUAAGGGCACCGUUCUCACAAAGGAUCUUUCCCCUGCAAGAUGUCCACCAGCAGAUCCAGAUUUACAUUGUACCAGCUUAGCAAACCCGGUAGAAA